GGUGGCAGUAAAUGAACAAUCUUUUCCAAACUUCACUCCAAGACGAUCUGACCAUGUGCAUCUAACUCAUAUAUAUCCUAGUGUGAACAACUACCUCACUCAAGAAAUACUGGAUCUGGUGGCAGUAGAAGAACAAUCUUUUCCAAACUUCACUCCAAGACCUUCUCACCAUGUGCAUCUACCUCAUACACAUCCUACUGUGAACAACAAUCUCACUCAAGGUCAAGGGCAUGGCUCACUACAACAAGAUAUGGAGCCCUCUUGACUGAUCGAACGUUGGUAUGAAGAACCGAACACGGUGGACGAUGACAAACAGGAUCGGGAGGAAUACUGAGUUAAAGUGGCGUGAUGUUGUCGGAGCAACAGCAUAACUGAACAUCACAGACAGCAAAAUUAUGUUCAUCAGCAAAGGGGGUCAUGAAGUGGUGGUUGUCACACAACAGCGUGCUAAGUGCUGAUGUCACGCAAGACAUCACGUUAAACGUUUGACCAUAACAUACACAUACUGUAACCUUCCUAUUUGUUUUGCU
This is a long non-coding RNA of Salvelinus namaycush (lake trout), 530 nucleotides long. RefSeq lists it as uncharacterized. The record is from RefSeq and is a predicted model, not a curated record. Lineage: Eukaryota; Metazoa; Chordata; Actinopteri; Salmoniformes; Salmonidae. The transcript is spliced from 3 exons.